Long non-coding RNA from Etheostoma spectabile (orangethroat darter), 119 nucleotides. RefSeq lists it as uncharacterized. NCBI's taxonomy places the organism in Eukaryota, Metazoa, Chordata, Actinopteri, Perciformes, Percidae. The transcript is spliced from 3 exons. The record is from RefSeq and is a predicted model, not a curated record.
CAACCGACCCUUGGCAGAAAAGACAUUUUGACUGAUCAGUCUCCCCUAGUUGGUCAAAAAAGUGCCUCGGACUACACCAAAGCGCCGAGACGUAAUACUUCUCCCCAACAGCAGUAUAU